This 307-nucleotide ribosomal RNA is filed under the name Helix pomatia (Roman snail). Its description in RNAcentral is "partial large subunit ribosomal RNA". It matches the Rfam family "Bacterial large subunit ribosomal RNA", at positions 1953 to 2597 of the family's 2925-position model. Lineage: Eukaryota; Metazoa; Mollusca; Gastropoda; Stylommatophora; Helicidae. The record is from RNAcentral.
AAGGUAGCAUAAUCAGUUGGCCUAUAAUUGAGGUCUGGUAUGAACGAAUAAUUGGGUAGUAACUGUCUUAAUGUAUUUUUGCAAAUUUAGUAAGCAAGUGAAAAUACUUGCAAAUUAUAAAAGACGAGAAGACCCUAGAAACUUUUUUGUUGGGGCGACAGGAUUACAAUUAAUCUUAUUUUACGAGACGAUAAACAGAAAGAAUAAGUUACUCUAGGGAUAACAGCAUAAGUUUGUGACCUCGAUGUUGGACUAGGUAAAAACUCCUUAGAAGGGAUUUAAUAUGCUCUGUUCGAGCAUAUAACCU